GGUGGCUCAGUGGUAGAGUGCUUGCCUUGCAUGCAUGAGGCCCUGGGUUUGGUUUCUCAGCACCA
This is a non-coding RNA of Dipodomys ordii (Ord's kangaroo rat), 65 nucleotides long. The record is from Rfam. Lineage: Eukaryota; Metazoa; Chordata; Mammalia; Rodentia; Heteromyidae.